UAGGGAAUCUUCCACAAUGGGCGGCAAGCCUGAUGGAGCAACACCGCGUGAGUGAAGAAGGGUUUCGGCUCGUAAAGCUCUGUUGUUAAAGAAGAACACGUAUGAGAGUAACUGUUCAUACGUUGACGGUAUUUAACCAGAAAGUCACGGCUAACUACGUGCCCG
Molecule: ribosomal RNA, 165 nt
Filed under: uncultured bacterium
Lineage: Bacteria
Description: partial 16S rRNA
Rfam family: Bacterial small subunit ribosomal RNA
Source: RNAcentral